ACGUAGGUGGCGAGCGUUAUUCGGAAUUACUAGGCGUAAAGCGAGUGUAGGCGGAUGCUUAAGUCCGUAGUGAAAUCUCCCGGCUCAACCGGGAGGGGUCUGCGGAUACUGGGCGUCUUGAAUUGGGUAGGGGGGAUCAGAAUUCCCGGUGUAGCGGUGAAAUGCGCAGAUAUCGGGAAGAAUACCGGUGGCGAAGGCGGAUCCCUGGACCUGGAUUGACGCUGAGACUCGAAAGCUAGGGGAGCAAACAGGA
Molecule: ribosomal RNA, 253 nt
Filed under: uncultured prokaryote
Description: partial 16S ribosomal RNA
Rfam family: Bacterial small subunit ribosomal RNA
Source: RNAcentral